CUAGAUUAGUUUAACAUGUGAAAUGUCCGUAAAGUAUCAUCAUAUGAUUGGUUUUAGGGUACAUUUCCAACAAUCUCCCACUUGCACUAGAGCCAAUCAGCUUGGUCAUCAGUUAGGAUACCUCUUCUGUAGUCAUUUCAUAAAUGGCUGAAUAGUAGGCCUAGACAAUGGAUAUCCCUAUGUUAUCCAUAGAAGCAACCUUGAGAAUAACGACGUCACCAUUAUACAUGAUUCUCAAUCAUGUGGUUGGUCUCUCAUUUGAGUUCGGACCUUGAUGAGACCUUGAUUCCCUGG
RNAcentral lists this long non-coding RNA (294 nucleotides) under Malus domestica (apple). RNAcentral describes it as "long non-coding RNA (MDOM_LNC018902)". The record is from RNAcentral. Lineage: Eukaryota; Viridiplantae; Streptophyta; Magnoliopsida; Rosales; Rosaceae.